UGAGGAAUAUUGGUCAAUGGACGAGAGUCUGAACCAGCCAAGUAGCGUGAAGGAUGACUGCCCUAUGGGUUGUAAACUUCUUUUAUAUGGGAAUAAAGUAUUCCAUGUGUGGGAUUUUGUAUGUACCAUAUGAAUAAGGAUCGGCUAACUCCGUGCCAGCAGCCGCGGUAAUACGGAGGAUCCGAGCGUUAUCCGGAUUUAUUGGGUUUAAAGGGAGCGUAGGCGGGUUGUUAAGUCAGUUGUGAAAGUUUGCGGCUCAACCGUAAAAUUGCAGUUGAUACUGGCAUCCUUGAGUACAGUAGAGGUAGGCGGAAUUCGUGGUGUAGCGGUGAAAUGCUUAGAUAUCACGAAGAACUCCGAUUGCGAAGGCAGCUCACUAGACUGCAACUGACACUGAUGCUCGAAAGUGUGGGUAUCAAACAGG
This 424-nucleotide ribosomal RNA is filed under the name uncultured bacterium. Its description in RNAcentral is "bacterial SSU rRNA". It matches the Rfam family "Bacterial small subunit ribosomal RNA", at positions 355 to 776 of the family's 1533-position model. The record is from RNAcentral.